Molecule: ribosomal RNA, 492 nt
Filed under: uncultured bacterium
Lineage: Bacteria
Description: partial 16S ribosomal RNA
Rfam family: Bacterial small subunit ribosomal RNA
Source: RNAcentral
AGUGAACGCUGGCGGUAGGCCUAGCACAUGCAAGUCGAACGGCAGCACAGUAAGAGCUUGCUCUUACGGGUGGCGAGUGGCGGACGGGUGAGGAAUACAUCGGAAUCUACUUUUUCGUGGGGGAUAACGUAGGGAAACUUACGCUAAUACCGCAUACGACCUACGGGUGAAAGCAGGGGAUCUUCGGACCUUGCGCGAUUGAAUGAGCCGAUGUCGGAUUAGCUAGUUGGGGGGGUAAAGGCCCACCAAGGCGACGAUCCGUAGCUGGUCUGAGAGGAUGAUCAGCCACACUGGAACUGAGACACGGUCCAGACUCCUACGGGAGGCAGCAGUGGGGAAUAUGGGACAAUGGGCGCAAGCCUGAUCCAGCCAGACCGCGUGGGUGAAGAAGGCCUUCGGGUUGUAAAGCCCUUUUGUUGGGAAAGAAAAGCAGCAGGUUAAUACCCCGCUGUUCUGACGGUACCCAAAGAAUAAGCACCGGCUAACUUCGUG